RNAcentral lists this transfer RNA (76 nucleotides) under Streptomyces sp. PVA_94-07. The record is from RNAcentral. Lineage: Bacteria; Bacillati; Actinomycetota; Actinomycetes; Kitasatosporales; Streptomycetaceae.
CCGCCGAGGACCGGGCCGAUCUGCUGCGGCGGCUCCUGGUGGCGGACGGCACGGGCGGCGACGACCGGUUCCUGGC